Molecule: signal recognition particle RNA, 100 nt
Filed under: Algisphaera agarilytica
Lineage: Bacteria; Pseudomonadati; Planctomycetota; Phycisphaerae; Phycisphaerales; Phycisphaeraceae
Description: Bacterial small signal recognition particle RNA
Rfam family: Bacterial small signal recognition particle RNA
About the family: The signal recognition particle (SRP) is a universally conserved ribonucleoprotein involved in the co-translational targeting of proteins to membranes. Archaeal SRP consists of a 7S RNA and homologues of the eukaryotic SRP19 and SRP54 proteins.
Source: Rfam by way of RNAcentral
GGCUGGGCUCGAUGCACGGGACGGCUCACGAAUCGGGUCAGGCCUUGACCGGAGCAGCCCUAAGUGUCGUCGGCCCGGUGCCGUCGGUGUCCUGGCCGUC